This 399-nucleotide long non-coding RNA is filed under the name Phoenix dactylifera (date palm). RNAcentral describes it as "long non-coding RNA (PDAC_LNC006696)". The record is from RNAcentral. Lineage: Eukaryota; Viridiplantae; Streptophyta; Magnoliopsida; Arecales; Arecaceae.
CUGGUCCUGCACCAACUUGGUAUCAGAGCCGUCGGCUUUGCCCCUGCUGCCAAAGCCACGACCUAGGUUAUCUGCCAAAGCCUUGAGGUCUAGCUUCUCUCUCCCGGCUACUUCUUCCGAACCGAGAGCCAAAAAAAAAAAAAGAGAAAAAGAAAUCCUUUCUUCCCUCUCUCGGUUCUCACACAAGGAACAGGGAAAGAUCCCGUCGCCAGGUCCACCCCACCCGUCGUCACACCCGCGCCCACCGCCGCCACCAGUCGCCGCCAGCAGCGCCGAGCCACCGUCGGACGUUCUCGCCGCCGCCGCUGCCCAGUGAAGGCCCGAGCCCGCCGUCGGAGGAGCCAUUUCCCCACGGAAACGUCGCCGCUCAGGUUCCCGUGCCUGUUGACGCCGCCCGUG